This 195-nucleotide ribosomal RNA is filed under the name uncultured bacterium. RNAcentral's name for it is "partial 16S ribosomal RNA". It matches the Rfam family "Bacterial small subunit ribosomal RNA", at positions 338 to 525 of the family's 1533-position model. RNAcentral also lists the same sequence under 1 other name. The record is from RNAcentral.
UCUACGGGAGGCAGCAGUGGGGAAUAUUGCACAAUGGGCGCAAGCCUGAUGCAGCCAUGCCGCGUGUAUGAAGAAGGCCUUCGGGUUGUAAAGUACUUUCAGCGGGGAGGAAGGCGACAAGGUUAAUAACCUUGUCGAUUGACGUUACCCGCAGAAGAAGCACCGGCUAACUCCGUGCCAGCAGCCGCGGUAAUA